RNAcentral lists this ribosomal RNA (1736 nucleotides) under Haplosporidium littoralis. RNAcentral describes it as "SSU rRNA". It matches the Rfam family "Eukaryotic small subunit ribosomal RNA". Lineage: Eukaryota; Endomyxa; Ascetosporea; Haplosporida; Haplosporidiidae. The record is from RNAcentral.
AGUCAUAUGCUUAUCUCAAAGAUUAAGCCAUGCAAGUCUAAGUAUAAACACUUUUGUACUGUGAAACUGCAGACAGCUUAUUAAAACAGUUAUAGUUUAUUUGACAGUAGCCUGUUUCCGGAUAGUCGUGGGAAAUCCAGGAAUAAUACGUACCGUUGCUGUUUCAAAGCAGCAGCAAGCAUAUUAUUUUAAACCAACACUGGUUGAACCAAAUAUUUCCUAGAUCGAUUCGGCUCAUGCCGCCGACGUGUCCAUUUAAGUUUCUGACCUAUCAGCCUCGACGGUAAGGUAUUGGCUUACCGUAGCAUUGACGGGUACGGGGAAUCAGGGUUCGAUUCCGAAGAGGUAGCCUUAGAAACGGCUUCCAUAUCUACGGACAGCAGCAGGUGCGAAAAUUGCCCAAUCCUAACACAGGGAGGCAGUGACGAGAAAUAACGAUUAGCGGCCUUUGGUCGCCAUUCGGAAUGAGCACAAUGUAAAGCUCUUAGCGAAGCCGAGCGGUGGGCAAGUCUGGUGCCAGCAGCCGCGGUAAGUCCAGCACCGCUAGCAUAUACUAAAGUUGCUGCUGUUAAAAAGCUCGUAGUUGGAUAUCAGCCUGGGCGGACAUGGCCCUGUCGCGUAGCGACAGCGUGCUAGCGCUUUUCGCAGUCCCCCGGCUCGUGCGGGGACACGGUCAAGCCAUUAGUUUGGUUUUGGCCGCGGCCCCCGCCCCCUUACCUUGAGAAAAUUAGAGCGCUCAAGGCAGGCUUUCGCCUGAAUGCAUUAGCAUGGAAUAACACUCCCGACUUUGCUCCCGCGCAUGCGGGUUUGUUGGUUUGGGGCAGAGUAAUGAUUGAUAGGAGCAACUGGGGGCGCUAGAACCGCCGGGGGAGAGGUAAAAUUUUAUGAUCCCGGUUAGACUGCCAAAUGCGAAAGCAUUCGUCAAGGGUGCUUUCUUUGAUCAAGAACUAAAGCCCGGGGAUCGAAGACGAUCAGAUACCGUCGUAGUCCGGGCCAUAAACUAUGUCAACUAGGUUUUGGGCUACGAACUUCCUCAGCGCCUUAGAGAAAUCAAAGUCUUCGGACUCAGGGGGAAGUAUGCUCGCAAGAAUGAAAUUUAAAGGAAUUGACGGAGAGGCACCACCAGGAAUGGAGCCUGCGGCUUAAUUUGAUUCAACGCGGUAAAACUUACCAGGUCCGGACAUAGCGAUGAUUGCCAGAUUGAAGAUCUUGCAUGAUUCUAUGAGUAGUGGUGCAUGGCCGUUCUUGGUUGGUGAAGCGAUUUGUCUGGUUAAUUCCGAUAACGAACGAGACCUCAGCCCUUAACUAGCCACUGCUACUUUUGUAGUGCUCGACACCGAGGUUGGCUUAUAUUAGGGGGACUAGUCGUGUCCAGCGGCGGGAAGCCUGAGGCGAUAACAGGUCCGUGAUGYCCUUGUAAGGUCUGGGCCGCACGCGUGCUACAAUGGCGCUCUCAGCGAGUUCUAGCCUUUUUUGAAAAAAACGGGUAAUCUCCAAAGGGCGUCUCAGUGGGGAUAGACGAUUGUAAUUAUUUGUCUUGAACUAGGAACUCCUAGUAAGUGCAAGUCAUUAGCUUGCGCUGACUACGUCCCUGCCUCUUGUACACACCGCCCGUCGCUCCUACCGAUUCAAUGAUGCGAUGAACUGGAUGGAGGGCUUUAUAUUUUUUUAAUGUGAGGCCCGAAGUCCCGUAAAUCUCAUUAUUAAGAGGAAGGAAAAGUCGUAACAAGGUUUCC